This 395-nucleotide ribosomal RNA is filed under the name uncultured Malassezia. RNAcentral's name for it is "eukaryotic LSU rRNA". The stretch from base 1 to 100 matches the Rfam family "5.8S ribosomal RNA", at positions 55 to 154 of the family's 154-position model. Lineage: Eukaryota; Fungi; Basidiomycota; Malasseziomycetes; Malasseziales; Malasseziaceae. The record is from RNAcentral.
GCGAUAGGUAAUGUGAAUUGCAGAAUUCCGUGAAUCAUCGAAUCUUUGAACGCACCUUGCGCUCCAUGGCAUUCCGUGGAGCAUGCCUGUUUGAGUGCCGCGAAAUCUCCCACCCCUAGCGGUUGCCGCAAGGCGCCGCCGGGCGGCGGGGUUGGUUGGGUGCCGCUGCCUGGGCUUUGGCCCAGGCUCGCCCGAAAUGCAUGAGCGCUUAGCACUCGCACCGUCUCGAGGGAAGGCGGCGGAGCUGGCAUCUGCGCAUGGCAUGAUACGUCAUUUGCUGUGUGGCAGCCCAGCGACCCGAGAGUGUGUGUGCGCUACUACACGCCCUUUCAUUUCUGGUCUCAAAUCAGGUAGGAUCACCCGCUGAACUUAAGCAUAUCAAUAAGCGGAGGAAA